RNAcentral lists this ribosomal RNA (465 nucleotides) under Vreelandella stevensii. RNAcentral describes it as "partial 16S ribosomal RNA". It matches the Rfam family "Bacterial small subunit ribosomal RNA", at positions 338 to 795 of the family's 1533-position model. The record is from RNAcentral. Lineage: Bacteria; Pseudomonadati; Pseudomonadota; Gammaproteobacteria; Oceanospirillales; Halomonadaceae.
CCUACGGGGUGCAGCAGUGGGGAAUAUUGGACAAUGGGCGAAAGCCUGAUCCAGCCAUGCCGCGUGUGUGAAGAAGGCCUUCGGGUUGUAAAGCACUUUCAGUGGGGAAGAAAGCCUUGGGGCUAAUACCCUCGAGGAAGGACAUCACCCACAGAAGAAGCACCGGCUAACUCCGUGCCAGCAGCCGCGGUAAUACGGAGGGUGCGAGCGUUAAUCGGAAUUACUGGGCGUAAAGCGCGCGUAGGCGGUCUGAUAAGCCGGUUGUGAAAGCCCCGGGCUCAACCUGGGAACGGCAUCCGGAACUGUCAGGCUAGAGUGCAGGAGAGGAAGGUAGAAUUCCCGGUGUAGCGGUGAAAUGCGUAGAGAUCGGGAGGAAUACCAGUGGCGAAGGUGGCCUUCUGGACUGACACUGACGCUGAGGUGCGAAAGCGUGGGUAGCAAACAGGAUUAGAUACCCCAGUAGUC